GAUGAAGAACGUAGCGAAAUGCGAUAAGUAAUGUGAAUUGCAGAAUUCAGUGAAUCAUCGAAUCUUUGAACGCACAUUGCGCCCAUUAGCAUUCUAGUGGGCAUGCCUGUUCGAGCGUCAUUUCAACCCUUAAGCCCUGUUGCUUAGCGUUGGGAGCCUACAGUACUGUAGCUCCCCAAAGUUAGUGGCGGAGUCGGUCUCACACUCUAGACGUAGUAAUUUUUUCUCGUCUGUAGUUGAGCCGGUCCCCUGCCGUAAAACACCCAAUUUAUCAAGGUUGACCUCGGAUCAGGUAGGAAUACCCGCUGAACUUAAGCAUAUCAAUAAGCGGAGGA
Molecule: unclassified non-coding RNA, 335 nt
Filed under: soil metagenome
Description: partial contains 5.8S ribosomal RNA, internal transcribed spacer 2, and large subunit ribosomal RNA
Rfam family: 5.8S ribosomal RNA (bases 1-120)
Source: RNAcentral